Long non-coding RNA from Oxyura jamaicensis (ruddy duck), 5381 nucleotides. RefSeq lists it as uncharacterized. The transcript has 2 exons. The record is from RefSeq and is a predicted model, not a curated record. NCBI's taxonomy places the organism in Eukaryota, Metazoa, Chordata, Aves, Anseriformes, Anatidae.
UUCAGCCCGUAAGGGCCAACAGAAAGAGUUGAGAGAGCAGCGAUGUGAGGGCUGGAGCUCCCUGUUCCUGCCCUGCAUCAUGGAAGCACUGGCAGGAUCCACCACGCACUUCUUGGUAGUUCUGGCCUCACCUUCCUCCUCACCCUGGGCCCGAUGUAGGCUUGGGGGCUGCCCUGGGAGCCCUUCACAGCUCGGGUUCCUGUCCAUGGAGACUGAUUCGGUGGAAGGGAGUUUCAGUGAGGAAAGAAUGAGGAAAAGACCGUGUUUAUUUCCUCCAUGAAGGAGCCUGAGGAUCUAUCUCAUUCAAAGACAUCUGAUUAAUAGCUCGACUGAAACAGCGUUGGAAAAUGUUCACAUCAUUUAUCAGUUUGGAGGAGAGAACUGAAAGCAAAAAAUAUGUUUGUUUUCAUUUGCUUCCCUUCUCUCCCCCCCUCCAUCCGUCCUCCUGUCCUCUCGUCCUCCCCGCAGGGAAGGAGGGCCGGCGGGGCAGGGACUGGCAGUGGGGAGCAGCCCUUCAGUGCACGGGCUUCCCAAACCCAAUUACAGGAGGCAUUGUUAGUUUUCAGCUGAAAAUUGGAACAUUUCAGCAAAUGGAAAAUUUUCUGUCAAGAUGUUCUUUUCUGUCCAAAACAUUCUUUUCCAGAAAACUGUUUUGAUGAAUAAAAUUUAAGUUAUUUCUGUCCUGGAAAACCUAGCUUGAGGUUCGGAUCCAAGCUCCAAGCUGGCCAGUUGCUCCUGGACCUCUUACAAUAGUUACACAUCUCCCUGUGAGCUGUGCCUAUAGGAUGCUUGGAGAAGAGCAAUAUGUUUGUUUUUAAUGAUGCUGCUGGUUUUCGCUAUAAAUUUAAACAAAGUGGGCGGUAUUGGAACCAGCUGCUAGAAUUUUUUUGUUUGUUUGUUUUCAUGAGAAAAAUGGUAACGUACUGCAAUAAAUUAAACAAUGUACAUAUUUUUACAUAGCGCUGUCUCUGAGCGUCUAGCUGCUCGGAAAUUACAGAAGCCGAGGGCAGCAUUCGGCCCUGUAUUCAUUUCACACGCACUGAAGUAAAGCGACAAAUGUUUCAGAGUAACUGGAUUUCCUUUUAAAGUGACACUUUAUUUGUGCUUGAAAAAUGUAAUGAGCCUUCACUAAGAGAUUUUUCUGGCUGUGUUCCUUCUUUAAUGACCUGCCCUUACAAAAUAAGCUAAGGAAAAAAAUAUAAUAAAACUAAAAAAAAAGAAAAGAAAAGAGGAAAAAAAAAAAACAACAAAUCCAUUUGGUCAACUUCUCUUUUCAUUACAUGGAGAGCAGCAACACUUCUGGAUGGGGAAAUAAAACGCAGAGCCUGGUAGGUUCCUGUUAAUUCCUCAGCACAUCCUUAAUUAGUGUUUUAUGGCUAAUCCUCAUCAUAUAUCUUAAAGAGUUUCACUUGAGCUGAUUCCCCACAAGUUUUAUUGCGUGCAGGAUGCUUGGCGUGGUGGUGGGUAUGGCUGUGGCUUCGGUGUGGAGGCAGAGCUGCUGAUCCUCAGAGAUGACUUGCUGGAGCUCGGUACCCCCAGGCUGCCUUUGCUCUGUGUGCCUGGUGUCAAAUUUGGGGAAGCAGCUGGUCACUUUGAGCUCAUCCUACGGGAAGCGGUGGGUGCAGGGGAGCGGUGGUGCUGAAAUGUGCUUCAGUGCUGGUUCUGCAGCCUCUAAUUGAGCUGCACGACAACACCACUCAGGAGCUAUCAAAAUAAAGCCUUUGAGGAGAUUUGUGUUAACAAGUUGGGAAGAAAUGGGGCUUUGUUGCAAGCGUGAUAUGCAGAUCAGGUGCCUUUCAGCAUUGCAAUAUUCUGCCCGGUGCUGCAAUUGAGAUAGCAAAGUAAAAAAAAAAAAAAAAAAAAAAAAAGCCUCUAUAAAAUGCACUGGUACUCUGGUACCCUGGAUGUGCUGUUUUGGAUGUUAACUAAAACCACUAAUUUUAGUGCCCUCAGUGUAUAAAAUACAAGUAUUUUACAAUUAGCAUCAGUAAUGGGAGCCGACUAGACUUCUCCCAGUAUCUAUAAUUGAAAAACACUAUAGGGUCCAUUAAGGCCAUUUAAAGUUGUGAUGCAGUCUGAUGGUAUUAAAUUAUUACAGGGAUCACACACGUGGCACUACAAGUUAAUGCCCACGACUGCGAGCAGCCACGCUGCGUGCUUUUUUGUCAACACUGCAGUACUUCACGACUAUCUCAAUUGUUUGUGAUAAUUUAGACUUAAUGCUGUGUACUUUUUUCAAGAAAUAUUACUAAUACUCAGCAGAGGGGCUGGGAAUUAGCAUUUGAUUAAAGCCAGCUUGGAAAUAAAUGCUAUUUGGUGGCCUCUCUCCGUGCCAUUCAGCACAAGUUUAUUUUGCAUUCAGAUAACCCACGUGGAAGUGAUGGGCUUUUCCUCAGUUUCAAAUGAUUUUCAGUAAUUAAACCCCAGAAGAAUGGCUCGCUGCUGUCCCCCCUCUCCCGGCGUUAUGAGGACAUUUGUCACCUCUGCACCUUCGGUGGCAGCCGGUGAGGCCCAGCCGAGCGAGGCUGUGGGGGGAUGGCCGGUAGGCCUUGCCACCUCCAGGCCGCGCUCCCCCGGGGAAAACCAAUCUGCCCGGGAGCCGCGUACAAUGUGGAUGGAAAUGAGACUCUCAAUUUCAAUUUGCAAAGUAAGAAAGUUGCAAGGCAGGGUUUGGGAAGGGGAAAUCCAAAUUGCCUAGCAUUUAAGCUGGAUGGUGCUGUGCGCUGAGCUAGGAGUAGCGCUGGCAGCAGCCCAGAGUGGGAUGCUGUGAGAAACUUCGCUGUCUGUAACGUGUGGUAGGUCAGAUUUAAAAAGGUGUAUUUGAAGAAGGGAAAAAGAAGACGAGUUCAGGGGUUGUUUCUCAGUUUUCUGGGCUGUUUCCCCUGCGCCAGUGGAUCCCAUUCUCAUUAUAAUAUGCUUCCUGUACUGCACACCAAAUAUUUUGUUAAGAACGUGACAGAAAUGUCAGCAUAAAUAAGUAGUAUCAGAGCUUUGCCAAACGUAUUAAAUGGUGCUCCCUGAUCAGAACAUAGCAGCGAAGUAGAAUCUGUCUGAGGGAAUACCCACAGAACGAGUGAGGAGCACAAACAUUAAUGAGCCUGAUAUAAAACAUUUUUAAAGCAUUUUUAUAGUUGCUAUAGAAACACCGUGGCCUUCACUCUUGCUAAUUAGUUGGAUUUUGCACAUUUUAUAUUUGAAAAUGCAAAUCGGUUUUCAUAAAUUAUUACUUAUUUUUCAUUUAUAUUUACAGUACCAUUAUCCAGAUACAUGCAGGAAGUCGGAGAUAUUAAUUAGUUAUACAACACAAAUAAGCAUGACAUUUAUGGUCACAAGACAUCUCUUGUUUCAAAUAUUCAUCUGGUAAAUGCUUGGAGGAACUGUGCAAAGAUUAAUGUCUUUGUGAGAGAAUUAGGUAAAUAUAAAUGAAUUGGGCCUAAUAAGUUUUUAAUAAAGUGCAUUUUUGGAGCAGGAGAAGAAAUAGCAUUGUUCUGGUCUAAGAAAUAUAUGUCCAUCUUUUCGUGGCUGUGGAGGGCUAAGGAUAUCAGUUAGAUUUUCCUCUUCUUCACACUGGUGGACAUAGAUGUACAUUGGUGCACGUCCAGGGCAGUCCUGUGGCUGAGACCAAUACGCACGGAUAGAGACCACUAUGCACGGUCCAGUACGUCACUGGGGUGGCGUGUUGAGCCCCAUCUCCUCUGCUUCCUAACGCCUUGUUUGAAGUGCUAUGCCAGUCAGUGUACCUUUCUGAUUUUGUAUGCAGUACUGCAGGAAAUACUCCAAAUUCUUCAAAUAAAACACACAGAAGCCUUUCUCUAAAUUUUUCGUUCACUAAAUACCCCAUUUGAGUCAGUGAGGGCAGAGCUGAGGAGAAGGCUGCAACGACCUGGCCGUGCUGGUGUGUCAGGGUGUGCAGAUUGCUAUGGAUGUGCUUCUGGAGGUUAUCUGGAAAUUCAGUCCUUCUUGUCCUUAUUUGAUCUGUGGAUUUGGCAUAUUUAGCAUACAAGCAAAAGCCUUUUUGGCACAGUGGUCUCAUGGAUUUUUUUUUUAUAGCGCUUUACUCAUUUUACUGUAUUGUUUUAGUGAUAAUCAAGGAUAACCUAUUUUUCUGAGUCUGCCGUUCCAUGUAAAUCUGUAUUUUUCCACAUGAUGGAUGUUCAAUAGUUGUAGGAAGACAUUUAAAUAACUGAGAAAUGUGGUUUAUUCAUGUUAUCUUGUUAAUCAAUGGCUUCCUUAAAUGUGUGUGCUCCGGACGGCACACACUAGGAUUUAAAUGAGUUUAUUAGCUGAGAAUAUGAACAGUGUGUUCAAGUCAAAUAUAUUUAAACCAUAUAAGUAAAAUAGUAACCAGAUUUACUUUAUGUGCUGCAAUGAAAAAGGGCAAAAGUUUGGAAAAAAGCUGCUUUUCUCUUUUGGAAAUUGAAACCGCUGCUAGCUGCGUACUCAUGCACAUAUGCUUUGUGUCGUCAGUAACAAGAACGCUGCGGUGAGCGGAUACCAAAGUGCUGCAGACAAUGCUAAUGGAACAGCUCCCCGAUCUAAAAACAUUUUUGUUGGCUAUUUGAUACUCGAAAUGCCAUCAGACAGCCAAUCUGAAAAGGGGAAAAAUUACAUUUCUGAUAUGUUACAUUGUGUUAAAUUGGAUUCUGUUGUCAUGCCAUGUACUGCUGUGUCAUUUCAUGUAUUGACUUUUAACCAGCUGGAGCUGCGUAGUCUUCAGAGAUUGCAAAGUGACAAAACCUGACCUGCGUUAUCGUUAGAGCAGUUGCAAUUCUCUUUUGGGGGUCUGGAAAGUGGAGGAGGAAUUCACUCCUAAGUAUUUAUGGAGCAAGAUGUAUGAAUAUGGAGUGCAUUUUUAUGCUGAUUACUGUCUUUCCUGCCAAGUGAAAGACCAGUGCCUGUGCAAGCGAGGUGGGAAGAGAGCUGCACAAACACAUGUCCGGGUCUUGUAAAGUGAGUCUGAACAGAGGAGGACAGGGUAGGCGUGGGGAGGGAUUUUCUGCUGUGGGGUUGUAUUAGUCUAGAAGUGAGCUGCCAAACUUUUUGCUCCGAGUUCUUCCCACAGCAUCUUCUCCUACUAUUCUUCCAUAUGCAGCAUUCGUCCAGUAGAUGAGGUGGUAGAUGGCUAGAUUGAAUUUACCCCAAAGUUUGGUGUGUCUCUGCUGUGCUGGUGGGUGUUCCAGUGCGAUGGGUGGCUGAGCAUCUGCAGAGACAGCUGGCUCUGCUUUACACGGCUUGAGGCGUGGGCUAAAAUGGGGAGAAGAAUUUCAUCCCUUUUAAUGAGCUCCAAAAAAGUGUCACUGCAUAGAAAUUACAGUGAUAAGGCCAUCAGAAAUGCUUAAGUAGACAAUGAUACAUUUUAACUCCUCAAAAAAAAAAAAAAA